AACGAACGCUGGCGGCAUGCCUAACACAUGCAAGUCGAACGAGAGCUUCGGGUCUAGUUGCGCACGGGUGCGUCACGCGUGGGACGCUGCCCUUAGGUUUGGAAUUCCACCCUGACGGGGGUGCUAAUGCCGGGUAACGUACUCUAAUAAAAGAUUCAUCGCCUUUGGUUGGGCAGGCGUUGGUUUGGCCUGUGGGUAGGGUAAAAGCCUACCAAGGCGACGCUACUUAGCUGGUCUCAGAGGAUCAUCAGCCACACUUGGACUGUGACACGGCCCAGACUCCUACAGGAUGCAGCAGAGGGGAAUAUUGGACUAUGGGCGAAAGCCUGAACCAGUUAGGCCGCUUGAGUGAUGAAGGCCUGAGAGAUGUAAAGCUCUUUUACCCGGGAUGAUAAUGACAGUACCGGGAGAAUAAGCUCCGGCUAACUCCGUG
RNAcentral lists this ribosomal RNA (433 nucleotides) under uncultured bacterium. RNAcentral's name for it is "partial 16S ribosomal RNA". It matches the Rfam family "Bacterial small subunit ribosomal RNA", at positions 29 to 507 of the family's 1533-position model. The record is from RNAcentral.